AGUGAACGCUGGCGGUAGGCCUAACACAUGCAAGUCGAACGGCAGCACAGAGGAGCUUGCUCCUUGGGUGGCGAGUGGCGGACGGGUGAGGAAUACAUCGGAAUCUACUCUGUCGUGGGGGAUAACGUAGGGAAACUUACGCUAAUACCGCAUACGACCUACGGGUGAAAGCAGGGGAUCUUCGGACCUUGCGCGAUUGAAUGAGCCGAUGUCGGAUUAGCUAGUUGGCGGGGUAAAGGCCCACCAAGGCGACGAUCCGUAGCUGGUCUGAGAGGAUGAUCAGCCACACUGGAACUGAGACACGGUCCAGACUCCUACGGGAGGCAGCAGUGGGGAAUAUUGGACAAUGGGCGAAAGCCUGAUCCAGCCAUACCGCGUGGGUGAAGAAGGCCUUCGGGUUGUAAAGCCCUUUUGUUGGGAAAGAAAUACAUCUGGUUAAUACCCGGGUGGGAUGACGGUACCCAAAGAAUAAGCACCGGCUAACUUCGUGCCAGCCGCCGCGGUAA
This 506-nucleotide ribosomal RNA is filed under the name uncultured bacterium. RNAcentral describes it as "partial 16S ribosomal RNA". It matches the Rfam family "Bacterial small subunit ribosomal RNA", at positions 29 to 523 of the family's 1533-position model. The record is from RNAcentral.